This 13263-nucleotide long non-coding RNA is filed under the name Homo sapiens (human). Its description in RNAcentral is "HSALNT0053429". The record is from RNAcentral. Lineage: Eukaryota; Metazoa; Chordata; Mammalia; Primates; Hominidae.
AGCCCAGAGGGAAGGAGCCCAGAGGAAACACUGCACUUUGGAGUCCAGAGGAAAGAUGAGUAAUAGCCAAUUCCAAAACAAACCAACCAAUCAGCAGAAAAUCAGAAUGUUGAAAGUGACAUAUUCCAACUGAUGACAAAAGCCUGCAGGAUCAGAAACUUUUGGUCCCAUGUGCAAUAUGCAGUGUUCAUGGCUUCCUACCUGGAGAAAGUUAAGUUUUAUUGUGUUCAAGGAGGUUGAGAGUAUAUAUUUGAUGUCCCAAGAUUGAGGAAGUGGUCCAGCAGGAAGACUGCAUUGAGUUACCAACUUGGGUGAAAAAGAUCAAGGUGAAGAUUUUAUUCCACAAAGUAUAAGGGGCCAGUAGGUCUUUACAGAAUAGAUAGGCUCAGGCCCAAGUAUGGUGGAUUAAGACUGACCUGAGAGAACACGAUAUCAGCACAUCCAUUGAUGGGAAGGAAGGACGUUGACCCAAUAGGCCAUUGGCUUUGUGGAACAACAGUCUUGAAAACCCUUGGAGAAGAUAGGUGCAGCCAACUCUGGAGGACUGCCUGAAAGGGAGCAGAGCCUGUAGAGGAGGCAUGGAGCCUCUGGAUGAAGGGCCGGUGCAACAUUCAGAGUUCAGUAUUGAUCGUGUUUGUGAUUUAAACACUCAGAGACCAAGGAAUUGACCACUUUGAUGUGGAUUGAUGGUUUCCUGAUGCUUUAUGACAGGUGUGGCCCAGGGACCUCUCCCCCAAGCCUGGGAGAAUCAUCCUCUGCUGUUAAACAGCUCAAUCAUUUCUCAUCCCUGGCAUCCUCACUGGUCCAUUGGCUCCUCCCUUCCUCCCCUCUUACCUACAAGUGCUGACCCUUCCUGGGCUGCUGCCAAACAUGACCCUGGAUACUGUGAGUCUCAGGCUGCUGGGCUACCAGGAUCAGAAUCAAGAAGGGAAAAGGAUCAAAAUUUAUAGAGUAUCUUUUAGAGUACUAGCAUGGUCAUUUCAUUACCAACUUUGCAAAAUAGGUAUCAUUGAUCCCAUUUUAUAGACGAAUAAGUUGAGUCUGAUGGAUAACUUGCUAUGUGAGGGACCCAAGCCUGCUAAUUCUACACUUUUGCACACUCUCACUUUAUUGCCUACAGAAGAGCUCAGAAGGAGAGGGAGGGAGAGGGGGACGGGAAGUAGAACUGUCCCUGGGGUAGAAAUAAAUUGGAGUGCUGGACAUGUGCAUUAGGAGCCUACUAGGCUGUAUUGCAGAUGACUCAGUAUGCAAUGGGCAGGAAGGAGGGGUGAAGAGAGGAGUAGGCAGUUUUCUCCAAAGCUGCUUUACAACAACAUCCCUGAGUGUGAACAUAAGUGAGUCUACAUGUCUAUCUCUGCCUCUUCUACACAUACCUUUGCAGGUUGCUGUGUGGAGUUUUUUGGUGCCUUCUUUUCUAAUUUAACUUGAUUUCCUUGAGGAUGGCAGAGCUGGACAUGUUCAGGAAACCUCAGAAAAAGAGCUGUAUGUCACUAAGUCAGGAAGAGGGCCCAGAGGUCAGGGUUUCUCAUCUGGGGCCAUCAAUACCGGCCUCCUUCUAGCUCUGUCAGACACUUGGCCCCUUCUGGGUACUCUGGCAGAGUUUGGUACCAUUCUCUCACACUGAAGAGAGACCCUCAUAGGUAGAGGCAUUGCAAGCUGCAGGCUGUGGCUCACAUUGCAAUGUAGCUGUAUCAGCCAUGAUUUUUAGUUACAGGCAUCAGCCAACUCUGGCUGACUGAAGCCGAAGAGAGUUUGAUGCAAAGAACACUGGGUGGCUGGAGAAUCAGUAGGAAUGCUGACAGUAAGGCUGGAGAAUAAGCAGCCUGGAGCAGCACCGAGAAUCACAUGGUGGAAGGAGUCUGGAGAAACUUCUACUGCUUCAGCCAUUGAAUGUUGGGCACUAUCAUUGGCAUCACAGUCACCUCUGUGCACAAACUUGAACCUGCAGUAGGGAGAGAGAGAACUCCACCCUUCCUGUGUCUAGCUCCAGAGUCAAAACCCAGGGUGGCACAUGGUGGAUGGAUCCUGUGUACAGCCUGUGCCUGGCUGCAAAGGCUGCUGGGAAAGCCAGUUGCUGCAUUUUUGGCAUCUACAGUGGGAAGCAGCCACUGAAGACAAUGAAGACUCAUGAAGUGGGAACUUCUCAAUGAAAAAGGAGUUCAAAUAUUGGGUGGCCAAAUAAAAUGAUAAAUAUUCACUAUCAUUGCCUUAGUUGAGAAUCGAGAAGCUGGGGGCAGUGUGAGGGUACUGAUGGCAACAUUCUCUAACAGGUAUUGAGUGAUUAUUCUCUGGGCUAACUAUUCUAAAUGCAGUAUCUCAUUUAAUCCUUCCGACAAAUCUCCCAGGCAAUUACUAAUAUUGUACCUAUUUUCCAAAGGAGACAACUGGAUUGUAGACAUGACUGUGGCACAUACCUAGUAGGUGUCUGAGCUGAGGUUCUGGCGUAGGCAGUCUGUCUUCUGAGACUGUGCUCACAUUUUCAUGAUUGAGGGCUGGUGAGGAACUCUAGGGGUAUUUCUUUAAGUUAAAGCAUUAAAACCAGCUGUCCCUAGUGCUCAUCAUUCCAAUUAUGCCACAUUAACUCCAGUCUUUUAAAAAUCCCGUCUCAAGGUACUUCUAGGAGUCUCCAAGAUGGCUUGUGUGAACACGUGUCAGACCAGGUUAUUGGAGGCCACCGUGCUGUCACCUUCCUCUGCCAAGUCCAGGCCCACUGUGGGGACCGCUGUCCAGGCUUAGAAACUCCGGUAUGAACACUGGUGGGCGGGCACUCUCCCGUAGCUGCCCUUGGCCACAAUGGAGAUCUCCCCUGGCCCUCUCCCAGACUGAGUCACCUGUACUACACAGUUUGCCCUGUUUGACACAACUGCCAGCCAAACCUGAGAUCCUCCUGGGUCACUGGCCAUGCCCAGGAGAGGCCUCGAGGAGCCAAUCUUUGCAGCCCAGCCACAGAUGCUCUUGGCCAUCAAGGAGCUUUACUGAGCCCUGUCAGGGGACAGGAGGAUUCACUUCCCUCAGCUCCCCUCUGUGAGACACCUAUAGUAAGGCUACAGAUUUCAAAGGGACGCCAAAUUUGGUUGUUUCCACCAGCGAAACCCAUUUUUGCCCUAGGGCCCACAUAGAUCAUCAGCAUAGUGAUGUCAGCAGCACCCUUCAGGCCCAGGGGCAGAAAACUGCUGGUUGUGACAUCCUUCCUCUUCUCCUCCCCUUUAAAGACCCUGCCUUCCUUUUUCAUAAUUGGCUCAAAUCACUCUCCUCCCACUCUGAUCUCACAUUCAUUAAUUCAUCUGGUCAACAUCAAAUAUUCAUUAUGCACCAAUUAUCUGUAAAACGGGGAUAGGAAUAAUGAUAUUUCAUUGUCUUGGUUUCGGUCUUCGUGCAAGCAGACUUGAGACAAGGGCUUGGUUGCAGGCUUUUUAUUCGGGAGGUGAUCCCAGGAAGCAGGAGUGAGGGAGCAGGAAGAUUGAGCAGGGAAGGAGGAAAACAGUAACCUAAGGGUGUGCUAUUGGUUACUGCUGCUGGCAGUGGGAGCCCAAGUGCAUUGGCACAUCUGAGAAGCACACAGAAGCAUCCCAGGAUUGUCCUCCUGAAGGAAGGGAGGCAAGAGCAUUUAUCCAUAGCUCCUAGCCCCCUUGGUAGAUAGUUGCCUUGGGACAGGGAGUGAGAGGUUGGGGGUUACCUGCCCUGACCUUUAGAGGGCUGAGCUGAUUUCUGCAGCUUUAGCAAGUCUUUAAGGCAGAGAGGAGCAAGCCAUGGGCACAUGCCUAAGUGGCACUGUCCAAGGAAGAAGCUCCUCCUUGCAGUUGGACUGAAGUCAAGAGUGGGAUGAGGGGCCGUGAUACAGCACGGAAAACAUACACUACACUUUCUCAUGAAGUAGUUACCAUUAACUGAGUUAAUUUAUGUAAAACACCUAGAACAAUACCUGCCCCCAAUAAGGCUAUAUGUGUGUGUUUGCUGCUAUUAUUUGUGUGACUAUUACAUGUGCCUGGUGCUUCUCCAGGCUCUGUAGGUAACACUCUCAUGAGACUUACUUUCAGCUCACAAAACAUGCCUUGUUUAUGUGUCAAAGCUCUGAUUCUUGAUACUGUCCAAGUUCUUUUGCCAGGAGAUUCUCAGCCCCCAUGUUUGGGGAUGGCCAGGGGACAUGGCCCCACUUGACUGCCUGCCUUGCCAGUAUCUCUGAUCCAUUUUGGAGGCCUGCCCUGCCAUGCUCUGCUUCCCAGGAUCCUGAACAAGGAUUUGAGAACUAAGGUUUGAAUUCUGCAUAUGAAACAGUCAAACUCAAGUUGUCCAUCUGCUGGGAAAAGAAAAUAGCUUCAGAGCAAAGUCACUUGCCUUUUAAUAAUUGAUGGAUAAAAGAUUGCAGCAUGUGCAAAAACACACUUUCCAGAUCUGCCACUAAGAACGGUUCGGGCAGAAGAAACUGCUCUUUCCAUUGCCCCAGAGGCCAGGCCUGCCCUCAGCUAAUCUGGUGACCUAAUCCUUUCACAUGGGGGAGGACCAGAGCAUUUGCAUACAAGCAAUGAAUGCAUCUUUCCACCAGAGGCUUCCAGAGGCAAGUCCAAUCUAGUUAGUGCUUAUCUGUCCAAGCUGGCUGACCUUCUCCCAGUGCACAGUCCAGUCCCAAGUCCUCCCACCCCUGCCUUGUUCCCAGAACGAGUCUUGACUAUUCUAGCCUCAUACCUCGUCCCUAAGUUGCAACACUUGAUAUGGCUCCUUGAGGACUGCCUUGGCCAUCUCCUUGUUGCCGCUCCCACUGACUGCUUGGGUUUCAGCAGUUCACGGCUUCACGAGGCAACCCCUCCCUCUUGGUUCUAUGAUAACAUAACCGGUCACAGGCCUUUUGCCCAGCCCAGGCACUGAGGGACUGGGACCUGCCCUGGCCCCAUCUUGGCUUUCACAAAUGGGAGCUGGUGAGGUCUCACCCAGGUGAAACCCGGAAUUCACUUUCCUUUCAAAUGUUAAUAUGUUGCUGUGAAAACAUGCCUUUAUCAGUCCAGAAUCCUGUGUCUGUAAUCUCAAUAUCUAAAAGCUCUGAAAGCCAAAAGUUGGUUAUAAUCUGCAUGGUAGCAAAAUCUAACAGGGUUAAUUUCAUUUUCCAGAAUUAUCUGACCUGCACUAAGUGGAGGCUAUCUAUUGCCUUUAUUGAUCUCAUUUGGUGUGAAUACGCAUACAUGCUGCUGGAGAAAUAUUAAUGUCAUUGAUUACGAGGUGUCCCAGAGCUCACUGGGGUGUUGAUGUAUGAAGUGGUAUGUGCACCAAACUGCCUUUCUAAAAUACAUUCUGAAUUCUGAAACAUACCUGGCCCCAAGAUUUUGGAUGAGGAAUUUAGGCCUGUAUUAAAAUUAACCCAGGGAGGGUUAGGGCCUGGGAGAAGUGACCAUGAGUGGCCAUUGUUAUCUAAAGCUAAUGCAGGGAGCCAGGGGCAGCAGUGGCCUGAGUUAAAUAUCACUGGAUCCUUUAGUAUAAUUACAGAGUCAGGACUUAAGGAGAGUCAUUGACAUCCCUUUCAUCAAAAAGAAAAGAAAGAAUUGCUCCCUGUAAUCCAUACCCAUUAAUUCAGCAUCUCCCCUAGAUAGCUGAAACCCCUUCAGAAAGACUGGAAUAUUUUCUAGAUAAUAAAUCUGGGUCUUUAUCUUUCCCUUUUCUUCUUUCCCCUCUUCCCUUUGCCCCAUCCCUGAACUUCCCCCUCUUCUUGUGUUUUUGUCCAUAAAAGAGCAGCUUCUGUCAUUCAUGUGACAAUGAGCCUCCUUAGGUAAUUAAAGGGGAGUCUGCAGCCUGAACUACAAGUGAGAGGUCAUCUUUUUCAGCUUAUAGUCCUACCUCUACUGGGAGUGUGAUUCUGGGGACAAGAAGGAAGAAACGGUGCCAAAGCGCAUGGAUGGCCAAUUGUGCGCCUGGCUCUUCCAUGUGGAGUAGGCAGUGGGGCUGCUUGGAGCACACUUAGUGUUUGCCCUCCAGAUUUUUCCAGUCUCCUCAUAGAUGACCCAUGCCUGAUCUAGAAUAGGGAGGCAGGGUUUUAGAUUUAACUAGAAGUCUUCAUUUGUAUUCUUCCCAGAAGCAGACCCUGAGAUGAGGGUUCUGGGAAAUAAGGAGAACAGCAGUUGGGAAGAGGAGAACAAAGCCAGGGGAUGACUAGAGCUUAAUCCUUUGGGGAAACUCUGGGUAACAGCACAGAACACACCUCAGAGUUAUCUUCCUAAGGUGCCAGAUGAGGGAGUUGAGGUAUUUAUACACCCUCUCCUGAGACUCAUGGGUUGAGGGCUGCUGGAGGCUGCGAUGACAAUGCCCUGACACAUGGGCCUGCUUCCUGGGGGCAAAAGCCUCAGGCACAGACAUACAUACACUGGGGUUUGAAGUUGAUUGUUACAUACUGUAAUAGUAACAUCCAAGCAAUACUAGCAGGGCACUGACAGCAUCUAAUACAGUUUUUUUUUUUUUCACUAAAAUGCAAAGGAAUGUUUGCAUUUCUUUAUCAGAAGAAGGAAAAGAAUGCCAGUCUUCCCAUUUUGAUGGUUGUGCCCACAAGAACCAGCAGAGCCUGGAAGGACAAUAUGCUUGGUAGUGGGAUCAUUUGGGGCUAGUGAGGGGGCAGGGUCUCGGGAAAAAGGGCACGGUGCCUGGUGAAGGGAGUCAUUCUGGGGGUGCUGCAGUGAUGAUGCUAGUGGCAGCUGUGCCCUUGGCAAUGGGAGUGGGGGUCUGCUACUGCAGUGAACCCUGAAAGCAGUAGGGAGGUGCUUCUUUAUAUCCCUUAGAGACUUCAGCAAAAAAUAUCCUUGAAUAAGGCUAGGGUAGGCAAGGGAAAAAUGGCAGGCACAGCAGUGGACUCAGCUUGAUUGUGAAGCCCUUUCUUAGGCUCUGUAUGGGGCUGGAAAUACCACAUGUGUCCUGUUUGGUGGGGAGGGGUCCUGUUGGGUGGAUAAGUGAUGCUCAGAGCAUUUCUAGGGCAGGAGUUGUCAAACUUUUUCCUGCUAAAUAUUAUAGGCUUUAGGGGUACUACUGUCUCUGUUGUAACUACUCAGCUUCCCUAUUGUAUAUCAAGAAAUGGUCACAGACAAUAUGUAAGGAAUGCGUAUGGCUGUGUUCCAUCACAACUUUAUUUAUGGAUGCUGAAAUCAGAAUUUUAUAUAAUUUUCAUGUGUCACAAAUUUUUUUUUCUGAUUUUGUCCAUUCAUUAAAAAAUGCAAAACCUAUUUUUACCUUGUGAGCCACACUGAAACAGGCUGUAGGCUGAAUUGGGCCCGUGAACUGUAUUUGCAGACCCUUGUUCUAGGGCUUCUCUCUGACUUGGGCUCCAGGGUUAAGGGCAGAUUUCCAACCGAUUCUUGACAGCGUAGGAGGGGCAAACCUCCUCCUCACUCCAGUGAGAUAAGUGACUCAUCCAAUAAUGGCAAAGACUCAAAAGCAAGGAGAUAGAACCUCAUGUAUGCGUGGACAUUUAACUGGCUCCGGUGAAGGCUUGAAGCCCUAUUUGCUAAGCUUCUGCUCAUUUGCUGCUCCAGAAAGUGACAGCCUGCAUGACCAGUCCACAGCCUGUUACUUUGGGGAUUUUACAGGGUUCAUAGAGUAAAGAGGAGACUUUGGGUAAAUACAGAUCAAAUAUUUGGGUGACACUGGUAGAGUGAAAAGGUAGACUUUUAAGCCACAUCGCCUUGCACGCAGCUUCCAGCUCUGCCAUUUACAGCCUAGUAAUCUGAAUCAAGACACUUAAUUACUCUGGGUCUCAGUUUCCUCAUCCAUAAAAUGAGGAGCAAUAAUAACCCCCCUUUUAGGCUUAUUAUGAGGAUAAAGUAAGACAAUACGUGAAAUGACCUUGGAUCAAGCUCAGCUUGGCAUCUCAUCUUUACUUAAUGGAUGGUUUUAAAAUUAUUUUUAAUGCCAACUUCACAAAGUUGUGAUAGAAAUUAAAUGAGAUAAAUGUGUAAAGGGCUCAGGGACAUAGUAUGUGUUAAGAAAAUUAUUGCUACUAUUAAAAAUAUGAUGGAGAAAAAAAGGUUAGGUAUUUCUCCAUCUUCUCUUUGGGAUGAUGGCUCUCAAGAGGUGGGAAGAGGAGGACAAUGGCACCUGCAUAAUUUUGAUUGCAGGAUAUUUGUAUUCUUUCCCUUUCUGAAGUUCCUGAAUAGCAAAUGUUUUUGACAGCAAUUGGGUCUGGAUGCCACGUUUUGAAGCCCAACUAACAAACAAGAGAUUAUGAGACUGCAGUUAUCUUUUACCAGCUGCGUGGAAAAAUCCUGUCAUUUGGCAUCACACAACUAUGAAUUCUUUUAUCUCUUUCUCCCUUCUUAUGUGCUCCUGGAGCAUAUGUAAGCAAGCUCUGACAUUGAUAACACAUUCUUAUUAACCAUUAUCUGAAAGAUGGGAUGCCAACUUAGGAGUUUUGCAUUGCAUAUCAGAUGGAAAUUUCCAUUGGGGAAUGGAAUGUUAUCCACUCCUGGCCAAUGACAUCCCAAGGCUGAAGUUACCUUCUACAUACACCAUAGUCUGAGGUCAUGAAUUGGCUAGAUUUCUGCCCAAAUCUUUGCCUACUCCUUCAGAAGGAAAUGGAAUAUGAGGCAACUAUGGGCACUUAGAGGGAACAGAAAGUUGAUUUUCUGUCAUAUAAACGUUAGCUUCUUAGGCAGUGUAGAUGGAGCAGGUGACUGGAGCCAGAGGGAUGGGGUUGUGCUUGUAGAAAGGCCAAAUGAACAGGCUGAGUGGAGACCCUGUGGGGGCCCCUGAGAUGCACCCUUUAAUAUUCAUCCCACUCCAUGUGGUCAGUCUAAGCACAUCAUGUAAUUCCCAUUUUCCUUGACAGAAAUUGGUUAAGUAAAGGGCAUGUUAUCCACUCCUGGCCAAUGAGAUGAGGAAAAGCCUACAGUACGUGUGUGUGUGUUGGUUGGGGGGCAGUCUGGGGAAAGUUUAUCUUCUGUGAAGAAGGAACUCAGAGAGAGAGUGCCUUUUCGCCCUGUGGACUUUGCCAUGAGCGCCUGGUGCUAAGGUGUCAUCCUGCUAUCAUCCCUCUGAGAGACCAGCAUCAAGUAUUCCUGAAAGGCAAGAGGGAUGGUUCCUGGAUCCCUAAGGACAGCAUUGCCUGGCAGCUGAUCUCUACUUGCCUUCAAAUUAUAAUAUCUCUGUGCUUGCUCAUUGUUGAAGUCAGUUUGAGUUGGAACUCUGUUCCUUGUAACCAGAAGGAUCCUAUCUGGGGGCCACAUUUUUGACAUUGGAAUAUCACCAAGGUGAGAAAUAAGGGAAGGGUGUGCACUAGGCAUUUAGAAGAGGGGAGCGGCUGGGCACUUUUAAUGGGUUAGUGUGAAACAUACCUUGUACUCUAUCUGGAGCAUCCUAUAUUAAUUAACUAACUUAUUAAUGAGCCUGUAUAAGGCACCUACUACAUGGUCAGCAUAGGGACAGGUCUUUCUGAGAAUAAAAGAGUCAUAUAAAACAUCAUUCUAGUUGUCAAGCAUCAUAAAAUUUAGUUGGUGGAGACAAGACUAGAAAUAAAACAAAAUAAGUGGUUUAGAGAAGGGCGUGAUGAGUGAGUGCUAGAGUAGGUAAAAGCUUCGUGGGAGAUGGAGAAAGCUAAGCUGGGCCUUAAUCAGCAGAAAGAAUAAAGGUGAGGACAUAGAGACGUUAAGUCACAUGCUCCAACACAGCCAGAAAGUGGCAGAGCUGGGGUUCAAACCCAGUAUGUCUGACUCCUUCCAACCCUGGGCAUGUAACUACUAUGCUGGAGCAUACUUAUGCUCCCAAUGUGUAUUUGUAAGCCUGGAAUGCUCAUAUAUUAAUUUAUAAUGAGAAAUAGAACUGGAAAACAUUAUGAAUUCAAAAUCUGUGAAGCCAAGUUAUAUUCAGAAGGUUCCCAAGGCAGCUUGAAGCUGAUUAACAGACAGGAUAUCCCUGACACCAGGAUGGAGGCAUGUGUCUUGAAGGGCUAGUCCUUCUCUUCCUGGCUAGGUACUGGUAAGAGAAUGGCCAGUUUUGGAGUCUUGGGGCUCCCAUUUAAAUGCUCCAGGCUGUUCCUAAAGUCCUUCUUCAGUCAUGGUGUAAGUCAACUGGUCAGGCCUCUAGGUGUUCAUUAUGUUCACAUUUAAUUCAGUGGUGUACUAGCAAGUGUUUAACAAAUGGCUCUCUGGGGCACUGGGGGAAGCCCUAAUUUGUAACAUUCACCAAGUCAAGUUCCAUGGUGUAAAUACUCCCUCCAAGACUAUUUCAAGCUACCAGCAGGAAGAGAUGCACACAAUCAAUGGCUCUUGAGUGCUGGUACCGGCAGGCUCCAGCACACCACUGUGCUCACAUUGCAUCCUGCCUCUCAGAGCCUUCCCAGAUGCCUUGAUGGGAAUUAUGGAAUGUUCUCAGACUUUUGUAGAACAUUUACCAAAUUAGUCACAGCCAUGUGUGUGAACUUUUUCAGUUUAAUUAUUGGAAAAUGGCCUCACUUCCAAAUUCUUGGAGAACACUGUUUUUACCUUCAUGUACCGUCAACUAAUAGAGCUGUAAGGUGGCCAAAGAAACCAAAGAUGGAUUUCCUUUCUGUAUUGCCUAAAGUCCAGAGUUCUGUUAAAAAUUACUGUCAAGAGUGAGGCUUGGGGUCUGUGCUGCACUGAGUAAUACCAUGGGUAGCAAUAGAUAAAUUGGCACAGAAGAAUCUUCUACAGCACCACCGCCAUUCACCCCCUGCCUCACUUUGCUGUCUUACCCAACAUUACAUGACAGAAAAAAGAAAUUGUGUUGCCUAGUAACAGCUCUGAGCAAGGGGAGACCAGUCAAUACAAUUCUGAAUUAAGGCAACAUCCACAAAAAAAUCCAUCUUGAGGAUUUAUACGAAAACCAAAGUGUAGUUAUAGUCUUACAAGCUGGUGGAGAAGUCCCAUUAGCUUUGGGUAUUGGAUUAUUUAGAAUAAUAUAUCUGAGAUAUAGAUUUCUUUUUCUGGGAAGAAUAAUCUACUCUGAGGCCAUGAAAAUCAAUAGGCCACUUUGAAGACUGACUUCAGCUGUUAUUGGUAAUGUUUUGGUUGUGUUUGUGAAUCAACAAUCAAGCAAAAAUAAGGCCAUUUAGUAGCUCACACUAAAGAGCACUACUUGUCAAUUUUGCAACGAAGCCUCUCCAUCCAUUGAAUGAAACAGCAUCUCCCAAGGGCUGCUGUGAGCCUAUGGAGACCCUGAAAGCUGACACCAGCACAAAGAAUUAAGGAUAAGUCUUCCAGGGUGGCCAGUCAUCCCAGCAUAUUGAGACUGAGGAGUUUCCCAGGAUGCUGGACUUUUAAUGCUAAAACUAGGAAACUCCUUGGCAAACUGGGACAGUUGGUCGCCCUGGAUCAGUGGUUCUCAACUGCAGAUGAUUUUGCCCCUCAGGUAGGGUUGCCAGAUAAAACAGAAGAUACUCUGUUAAGUUUGAUUUUCAGAUAGACAAUGAAUAAUUUUUCAGUAUAAGUAUGUCCCAACUACUACAAUGGGACACAUUUAGAGUUAAAAAGAAUUAUUCUUUGCUUGUCUAAAAUUCGAAUUUAACUAGGCUUUUAACAUUUUUUAAAAAAUUUUUUUUGUAAAACUGACAGUCUUACCCCCAGGAGAUAGUUGGUAAUGAUUGGAAGCCUCUUCGGUUUUCACAACCACAACUUCAUCAGGGAUGCUACUAGCAUCUAGUGAGUAGAGGCCAGGCAUGCUGCUAAACUUCCUAUAAGGCACCAAUGCAGACAACAGCUGCCUAAAACAAAGAAUUAUCUGGCCUGAAAUGUCAGUGGUGCAGAGGUUGGGAAAUCCUGCCGUAGACCUAAACAAGCUGGUGCCACGGAGCUCCAUCUUCCUUGAGAAAACACUAAAGGAUGGACGUGGGCUUCCCUGCUUCAUGCACACAGAUGGAAAAAUGUCACAUACAUUCCUGACCUUUAACACUUUCAGUCUGAUGCGUCAAACAGCCAUUGGGAGCUUAAGAAGUGUCUAGCAAAAUGGGACAAUUCCCCUUGCCGGACUCCCCCUUCCACACUUGGAAGGGUGAGGCAGUGUGUGUCAUCAAACAAUAGAGCAGAUAAAAGCUGAAUCAGGGUGGUCUCCAGGACACCCCCAUCUCCCCAGACUUCUAUGGUGACAUUUCUUGCACUCCUCAAGUUUGUUCAUGGCUUUGAAAACACAGUUUCAGAAUGUCUUCAUUGUUUCAUACGGUACUGGCCGCGCCUGGAGUUUUCCUGAAGGAAACUGUAGCAGCAGGAAUUUUGUGCAAUACUAUAAUAAGGGGGCUUUAUCCUUCCAAAAAUACAUCCUUUCUCCUUGUUGCCAGCUCUCCCACAGCCCUGUGAAAAAUGUAGCUCAGAAGUUACUGAGGCGUUUUUCUGUUUUUCCUUUCUCACUUUAGUUCAUAUCAAGCAACAGAAAGCAAUUCUAUUAUUCACACUUAGGCGUGCUAGCUUGAAUGAAUGAACAAAUCAAAUAUCAAUCCUUUUCUCAUUUCCCUAGUGUGUAAGAACUGAAAUGUAGAAAGUGGCAUCUGCUUAAAAGGAAUUGGUGAAUUUGACUUCUCUAGGUACCUUAUCCAAGUGGAAUGAGUGUUUAAUGGGCACAGAGUUUCAGUUGGGAAGAUCGAAACGUUCUGGUAGAUGGAUGUUGGUGAUGGUUGCACAACUAUGUGAUUAUACUUAAUGUCAUGGAACUGUACACUUAAAAAUGGUUAAAAUAGUAGAUUUUAUGUUAUGUAUAUUUAAUCACAGUUUAAAGAAAGGAAUUGGUGAUGCAUGUCUAUGCAUGUAAGUUUUGAUAUAUGCUUGCUGAUUGAUUAUUUAUCUAAGGUCUGUUUACAUAUUUUCCCCCAGUAAACUUGGUACUUGCCUCAUUGUCCUGUAUCCUUAUCCUUAAAUUAAUUGGACAAUGCCUCUUUCUUCUUCUCCCUCUUCUUAACUCCAGCAGUCACAUGAAGAUAGAAAUAUAUUUUGUCUUUGGAAGUUACUCUUUUUUAAUUUUUUAAUUUUUGUGGGUACAUACAUAGUAGGUGUAUAUAUCUAUGGGGUACAUAAAAUGCUUUGAAAUAGGUAUGCAAUGCAUAAUAAUUACAUCAUGGAAAAUGGGGUAUCCAUCCCCUCAAAUAUUUAUGUUUCAUGUUAUAAUCCAAUUAUACUCUGGAGUAUACGCUGAGUACUCCAAAUGUACUCAAUAGUACAAUUAAAUUACUACUGACUAUAAUCACCCUGUUGUACUACAAAAUACUAGGUCUUAUGCAUUAUUUCUAACUAAUGUUUUUGUACUCAUUUACCAUUCCCCCUCCCCUUCACAGUCCCCCAUUACCCUUCUCAGCCU